AUAACUGCCUUGAAUAUGCGUAAUUUUAAAAUCCUUCAAUACUUGCCUGUGAAUUAUUGAAAUUGGUGAAACUGAAAAUUGAGUAUAUGUUAUAUUUUCUGGACACCCUUUAAAUACCUGGGAUCAAAAGUAUUUGCACACCUGUAUAUUUAUUUAACUUCUAUAUAAGAAUAUUUAAUAUGUUGUUUUAACAUUAGGUUAAUGAUGAUGUUGUUUCUCAGACUUGAUUGAGAAGUAAAGAGGCACCCAACAAGCAUUGAAGAAGAUGAUGAGACUCAAAAAAGCACAACGCUUAUAAGAGACAUAUCAGACUUGGUUGGUUUGCUAAAAUCAGCAAGUGGGAUUAGUUAAAAAAUGUAAGAAGGUUAAGUCGUGGAUAUUCAUAUACAGCAUGGCCCAGCUACUCCUUUACCGAGGAACCUGGUAUUAAAGUUACUGUGAUGGAGUGGUUUGAAUCAUAUCUUUCAAUCUAUCUAGCAAUAUGUAAAUGCAAAUGAGGAGUCUACUUUACAUACUAAAACUAAUUAUGGAGUUUCACAGGGUUCUGGCUUAGGAUCCAUUCUAUUUACCUCAUACAUAUUCCCCUAGGCAGUAUUAUAGGAAGGCACAGCGUAAGUUUUUAUUUGGUUUGCAGAUCAUACCCAGCUUUGUUUAUCCAUGAAGCCAGAUCACAACCACCAAUUAGUUGAACUUAAGUUAAAGACAUAAAGGUCUGGAUGACCGCUUUAACUUUUUAGUAUUACUUUUUACUUUUUUGUUUAUUACUUCUAGGCUGGAUUAUUAAAAUUCAGUAUUAUAUGAUUGUUCUAAAAGCUACCUGAAAAGCCUUCAGCUGAUCUAUAAUUCUCAUAAGACACACAUUAUUCAGUAAAAUGAUCAAUAGAAUAGACCUGCCCAACAAAUCUGCAUAUCAGUAUCAUGCAUAUUUCAGUUGAAAAAAGUGUAUUUAAAAAAAAAGAAAUGUUCUCGACUAUCAGAAGAAGUCCUUUUGAUCGUUUAAUAACACAUUUUUAUUUCAUUUAUUAAAACAGCAUUUUUGGCUUGUUGACUGUCAUGGUCCCUCGGUGCUCCCAGGCUGUCUGCUCCAGGUUUGUUUUCUUUCUGUCUCUCUCCCUUGGUUUUCUCUUUCUCCUCUUUCUGUAUCUGUGCUGAUUUGAUGGUGUUUGCUUUCGUGGGCGGGACUCAUCGUGGGUUGCUGCCUCUGGCCGAACACACCUGUGACAGUCAAUCACCUGUUCUUGAUUAUCCCAUGAAGCAGGGACAUUCUUCACUGGGUUGUUAAACUACUCGAUCCCCAGAUUUCCCUCCCUGGUGUGUAUUGUGCAAAGACCCUGAGUUUGAGAGAGAGGGAGUGUUACCUGUAAGUAUAGCUGUGGUCUCCAUAUGAGCCUGAUCCCUGCAGGAGAUUUUCCAGCAAGGCCUUUUUAGUGUUUCCAAAGACUAUCUGAUCACUAAAGGUUAUGGCGGCAGCUCAAGGGCAACGACUGUGGGAUUCCCUGUGAAGAUCUCAGGCAAGUGAACUCUCUCAGCUCUUUUAAAUCUCUUCUUACACUUCUACAACCACUCUGACUCUAGUUU
This is a long non-coding RNA of Oreochromis niloticus (Nile tilapia), 1578 nucleotides long. RefSeq lists it as uncharacterized. NCBI's taxonomy places the organism in Eukaryota, Metazoa, Chordata, Actinopteri, Cichliformes, Cichlidae. The transcript is spliced from 3 exons. The record is from RefSeq and is a predicted model, not a curated record.